GGAACUGCAUUCGAAACUGGCAGGCUAGAGUCUUGUAGAGGGGGGUAGAAUUCCAGGUGUAGCGGUGAAAUGCGUAGAGAUCUGGAGGAAUACCGGUGGCGAAGGCGGCCCCCUGGACAAAGACUGACGCUCAGGUGCGAAAGCGUGGGGAGCAAACAGGAUUAGAUACCCUGGUAGUCCACGCCGUAAACGAUGUCGAUUUGGAGGUUGUGCCCUUGAGGCGUGGCUUCCGGAGCUAACGCGUUAAAUCGACCGCCUGGGGAGUACGGCCGCAAGGUUAAAACUCAAAUGAAUUGACGGGGGCCCGCACAAGCGGUGGAGCAUGUGGUUUAAUUCGAUGCAACGCGAAGAACCUUACCUGGUCUUGACAUCCACAGAACUUUCCAGAGAUGGAUUGGUGCCUUCGGGAACUGUGAGACAGGUGCUGCAUGGCUGUCGUCAGCUCGUGUUGUGAAAUGUUGGGUUAAGUCCCGCAACGAGCGCAACCCUUAUCCUUUGUUGCCAGCGGUCCGGCCGGGAACUCAAAGGAGACUGCCAGUGAUAAACUGGAGGAAGGUGGGGAUGACGUCAAGUCAUCAUGGCCCUUACGACCAGGGCUACACACGUGCUACAAUGGCAUAUACAAAGAGAAGCGACCUCGCGAGAGCAAGCGGACCUCAUAAAGUAUGUCGUAGUCCGGAUUGGAGUCUGCAACUCGACUCCAUGAAGUCGGAAUCGCUAGUAAUCGUAGAUCAGAAUGCUACGGUGAAUACGUUCCCGGGCCUUGUACACACCGCCCGUCACACCAUGGGAGUGGGUUGCAAAAGAAGUAGGUAGCUUAACCUUCGGGAGGGCGCUUACCACUUUGUGAUUCAUGACUGGGGUGAAGUCGUAACAAGGUAACCGUAGGGGAACCUGCGGUUGGAUCACCUCCUU
Molecule: ribosomal RNA, 915 nt
Filed under: Klebsiella pneumoniae
Lineage: Bacteria; Pseudomonadati; Pseudomonadota; Gammaproteobacteria; Enterobacterales; Enterobacteriaceae
Description: bacterial SSU rRNA
Rfam family: Bacterial small subunit ribosomal RNA
Source: RNAcentral